GGGCAGUGUAUUUCUUCUCCCCAAUUUUGGAGUCUUUUAGAAUUGGGAUUAAAGAGUUUUUACGGCUAGAGAGAGAGAAGCAGAAGCGGAAGGAGAAGAGAAUAUAGGAAGAAGGAUGAUACACAGGAAAUGGAGUUUGCUGACAGGCCCCGCAGCUAUUCUCGGCGGUAUCGUCGGUGCUAUCGUCGUCGCCAAUUUUAUCUUCGUCCAAAAUGACCCGUUCCUUAAGCCAGAGCGGAAGCAGGAGAAAGCACCUUCAAACAAGUGAGCAAUGUGUGUUUUUCUCUGGGGGUUUUCUGUUGGUUUGAUUUGUCAUACAUUACGGCCCAAUAAACUCAAAUUUUGAGCAUCAGCUUGAAUGUAGGUCUCUUUUGUUGGCUUUCUUUCUGUACUCUUUCUCUUCACAGAAUAUGAAAGUAUGCUCCAAACAAGAGUCUUAGGUUGGGAACUGGUCAUCUCCUGUUUCGUGAUGCUUUAUUCAGGUUAUGAAUAGAAUAAAAUGUGGAGAUGCGACAAAUUUGAUAUUGUGCAGAAAGUAAGACGGGUGCUGUUGCAUUAUAGGUUGGCAAAAGACGAGCUUGUUUAUUAUCAAAUUUACCUUUAUCGUAAUACUUAUUUUUUAUU
This is a long non-coding RNA of Nicotiana tabacum (common tobacco), 624 nucleotides long. RefSeq lists it as uncharacterized. The record is from RefSeq and is a predicted model, not a curated record. NCBI's taxonomy places the organism in Eukaryota, Viridiplantae, Streptophyta, Magnoliopsida, Solanales, Solanaceae.